Molecule: long non-coding RNA, 1314 nt
Organism: Cimex lectularius (bed bug)
Lineage: Eukaryota; Metazoa; Arthropoda; Insecta; Hemiptera; Cimicidae
Exons: 3
Source: RefSeq, a predicted model, not a curated record
CAGAAAGGAUUAGGGCAGGUUUGUUAGGAAUCACCUGCACUUAUCAAUGGUGACAUUUGUCCCAUUCGUUUUUCUUCUUUCUCGUAGCAUACCAGGUUACCAGGUCAGCCGUUGGAAGUCGAAGAACGGCGAGGCGAGGCGGUUGGCCAUACGCCAGAACCAGUCGUACGCAAAUGUACACGGAACUAAUUGUACGCCAACUUCGGCGUCCGACCAAAGGACAAAAUAUCUCGUCUGUCAAGUUUUCCACUUACAAAUUCCUAACUCCUUUGGAUAAAUUGUGGAUAGAUGUUAAUAUUUGUUCAACUUGUAAAUUAUUAAUUAAAGUUUCAUAUUGAUGAAGGUGAUAAAUUCAUCGAAACUCUACUAAGGAACUAAGUGUUUUCUUCCAAAUAUUUACGCCUUGUUUAUUGAAUCAAAAAGAAAAUAAAUAGUACAGUGUUAACACAAAACGACACGGCACCGUUUAAAAUCGGCCCACCUGACGAUUCAGACCUGCGAUUUUAUGACAACGCAAUUUAAAAUCUAUUUUCAACAGGUUUUUUUCACAGCCAGGACAAAUUAGAGACAAAACACACAGAUAAUCUUAGAUGUUUACGCCACUGUACAUUUGUAAAUAGAUCGUACUCUUAAUCCCACAAGUAGUUGUUUUCCUUUGAUCCCCUCCGCUUACGCGAGCCAAUCUCACCUCUCAUGGAAUUCUCUUACGAUCCACUCCUCCUAUUCUCUCUAGCCCUUUUCGAUAUUUAAAGUUGUGCCAGUGAUUUAAUGGUUUUCUGGUUCAACCCGAAAUUAAUAUUCCCAAGAAAAUUAGCCGAAGCUGUACACCGGAGACUACGACGGACUCGGGCCCGAAGUUGCGUCGCCGCUGUGAAUUCGACAAGUUUCAGCAAGCAGCAUACAAGUUUGGAAACGUCUCUUUGCUAGGAGUUGGCCCAUUCUUCACGAAGAGUCCUUUCAAGAUCGUGGAGUGUAUCAGGAAGUGAUGGACUUGGUCAUUCGUCUUUUGAGAAAAUCAAGCUAGACCUCCUAAUUUAUGGAAUGUAAUCAGUCAGAUAUUACUAUGCAAGACAGCAGCACCAGGCUUGAAACAGGUGGAGAUUUGCCGCAUUUCAAAGACUCUCAGGAACUGUGGAAACUUUUGAAUGAAAUGCGGGAAUAUAUUUCGACCAUAGUAGAGUUUCGAACGGGUUUUUUCAACACAUCCUGCUGUAUCCACAGGCACAACUACCUUUGAUAAGAAGUAUCAAGUUUUUUUUAAGCUGUUAUGUACAUUUUCUCGUAGUAUGAUUGCAAAAACUAUCGUUCAAACUU